AUGCUCACUUGAGCAGCACAUACUAUACCAAAAUUGGAACAAUACAGAGAAUAUCAGCCUAACCCCUGAACAAGGAUGACAACAUAUAAAAAGAAAGAGAAAUGCAC
This is a small nuclear RNA of Cebus imitator (Panamanian white-faced capuchin), 107 nucleotides long. Lineage: Eukaryota; Metazoa; Chordata; Mammalia; Primates; Cebidae. The record is from RefSeq and is a predicted model, not a curated record.